This 490-nucleotide ribosomal RNA is filed under the name uncultured bacterium. RNAcentral describes it as "partial 16S ribosomal RNA". It matches the Rfam family "Bacterial small subunit ribosomal RNA", at positions 29 to 507 of the family's 1533-position model. The record is from RNAcentral.
AUUGAACGCUGGCGGCAUGCCUUACACAUGCAGGUCGAACGGCAUCGCGGGAAAGCUUGCUUUCCUGGCGGCGAGUGGCGAACGGGUGAGUAACACAUCGGAACGUACCGGCUAGUGGGGGAUAACCCGUCGAAAGACGGGCUAAUACCGCAUACGCUCUUCGGAGGAAAGCAGGGGACCUUUGGGCCUUGCGCUAGUCGAGCGGCCGAUGUCCGAUUAGCUAGUUGGUGGGGUAAAGGCCUACCAAGGCGACGAUCGGUAGCGGGUCUGAGAGGACGAUCCGCCACACUGGGACUGAGACACGGCCCAGACUCCUACGGGAGGCAGCAGUGGGGAAUCUUGGACAAUGGGGGCAACCCUGAUCCAGCAAUGCCGCGUGGGUGAAGAAGGCCUUCGGGUUGUAAAGCCCUUUCGGCAGGGAAGAAAUCGGCGGGGCGAAUAACCCUGCUGGAUGACGGUACCUGCAGAAGAAGCACCGGCUAACUACGUG